Molecule: long non-coding RNA, 554 nt
Filed under: Pan troglodytes (chimpanzee)
Lineage: Eukaryota; Metazoa; Chordata; Mammalia; Primates; Hominidae
Description: long non-coding RNA NONPTRT011844
Source: RNAcentral
GUUUAUAUUAAUGAGCUGAGUCAGGAUGGGGUCCAGUCACCAGAAAGACUAACCAUAUAAUUCAAGGACUGGGGCUUUGAGCCCAGUAAUGUCAUCCCAACCUCUGAGGAGUGGAAGGAUGCUGGAGAUUGAGUUCAUGUGCCCUGCGAUUCAGUCAAUCAUGCCUAGAUAAUGAAAUCCACAAAAAAACUAUGGACGGCGAAAUUUGGGUGAGGUUCUUUGGUUUCAAAGGUGUAGGGAGGGUAAUGCAUCACGAUUCCAUGGGGAGAAGACGUGGAAGCUCUGAUUCAGUAUCCUCCUAGUUCUAGCCCUAUGUGUCUCUUCAUUGAGCUGCUUCUGAAUCGUGUCCUUUACAAUAAAAUUAUAAUCAUAAGUUUAGUGCUAUUUUUGAGCCAUAUUUAUGAAGUGCAAAAGCAGGUAAAAAUAAUAUCUGGUGAUAUCUCAUAAUUGACUUGCCAAGUACAGGACUGAGAGACUUGAUUGCUGAAAAUGUUCCAUCUCUUUAUUGGGAUGGUGUAAAUAUGAGGGUAUGCAUAUGUUUAAAAAAAUCUGCA